Molecule: ribosomal RNA, 783 nt
Filed under: Daptonema sp. 2 BT-2019
Lineage: Eukaryota; Metazoa; Nematoda; Chromadorea; Monhysterida; Xyalidae
Description: SSU rRNA
Rfam family: Eukaryotic small subunit ribosomal RNA
Source: RNAcentral
CCGCUCUACUUGGAUAACUGAGGUAAUUCUUGAGCUAAUACAUGCAGACGAGCUCUGACUUUACAGGAAGAGCGCAUUUAUUAGACCAAAAUCAAUCGGCGCAAGCCGUUUUUGGUGACUCUGAAUAACUACGCAGAUCGCUCAGGUUUUAUACCGGCGACAUGUCCUUCAAGUGUCUGCCUUAUCAACUUUCGAUGGUAGUUUCUAAGCCUACCAUGGUUGCGACGGGUAACGGAGAAUUAGGGUUCGACUCCGGAGAGGGAGCCUGAGAAACGGCUACCACUUCUAAGGAAGGCAGCAGGCGCGCAAAUUACCCACUCUCGGAUAGAGGAGGUAGUGACGAAAAAUAACGAGACAACCCGCUCUAGCGAGUUGUCAUCGGAAUGAGUACAAUCUAAAUCCUUUAACAAGGAUCUAGCGGAGGGCAAGUCUGGUGCCAGCAGCCGCGGUAAUUCCAGCUCCGCCAGUGUAUAUCUAUGCUGUUGCGGUUAAAAAGCUCGUAGUUGGAUCUUCGUGUCAGGGACCGGUCCACCUUUGUGGUGUGCACUGGCUUCCGACACUAAACCGUCAGUUUUCUGUUGGUGCCCUUCACCGGGUGUCUUCAGUGGCUGGCAUGUUUACUUUGAAAAAAUUAGAGUGCUCAAAACAAGCGUCUCGCUUGAAUAUUCGUGCAUGGAAUAAUAGAAUAGGUCCUUGGCUCUAUUUUGUUGGUUUUCGGCGCACAAGGAAAUGAUUAAGAGGGACAGACGGGGGCAUUCGUACUCCGACGUUAGAGGUGAAAUU